Molecule: ribosomal RNA, 288 nt
Filed under: uncultured bacterium
Lineage: Bacteria
Description: partial 16S ribosomal RNA
Rfam family: Bacterial small subunit ribosomal RNA
Source: RNAcentral
AACGAACGCUGGCGGCAUGCCUAACACAUGCAAGUCGAACGGGAUCCUAGCUUGCUAGGUGAGAGUGGCGGACGGGUGAGUAACACGUGGGAAUCUGCCUUUUGGUUCGGGAUAACCGCGGGAAACUGCGGCUAAUACCGAAUGCCCUCGAGAGAGGAAAGAUUUAUCGCCAGAAGAGGAGCCCGCGUCCGAUUAGGUAGUUGGUGGGGUAAAAGCCUACCAAGCCGACGAUCGGUAGCUGGUCUGAGAGGAUGAUCAGCCACACUGGACUGAGAUACGGCCCAGACU